UGGCUCAGGAUGAACGCUGGCGGUAUGCUUAACACAUGCAAGUCGAACGCUCCUUCGGGAGAGUGGCGGACGGGUGAGUAACGCGUGAGAAUCUGCCUUAGGGUCGGGGACAACCACUGGAAACGGUGGCUAAUACCGGAUAAGCCGAGAGGUGAAAGAGAAAUUGCCAGAAGAGGAGCUCGCGUCUGAUUAGCUAGUUGGUGGGGUAAGAGCUUACCAAGGCAGCGAUCAGUAGCUGGUCUAAGAGGAUGAGCAGCCACACUGGGACUGAGACACGGCCCAGACUCCUACGGGAGGCAGCAGUGGGGAAUUUUCCGCAAUGGGCGAAAGCCUGACGGAGCAAUACCGCGUGAGGGAGGAAGGCUCUUGGGUCGUAAACCUCUUUUGUCAGGGAAGAAGAAAGUGACGGUACCUGACGAAUCAGCAUCGGCUAACUCCGUGCCAGCAGCCGCGGUAAUACGGAGGAUGCAAGCGUUAUCCGGAAUUAUUGGGCGUAAAGCGUCCGCAGGUGGCUCAUCAAGUCUGCUGUCAAAAACCGGGGCUCAACUCCGGAGGGGCAGUGGAAACUGAGGAGCUAGAGUGCAGGAGGGGUAGAGGGAAUUCCCGGUGUAGCGGUGAAAUGCGUAGAGCUCGGGAAGAACAUCGGUGGCGAAAGCGCUCUACUGGACUGCAACUGACACUCAGGGACGAAAGCUAGGGGAGCGAAUGGGAUUAGAUACCCCAGUAGUCCUAGCCGUAAACGAUGGAUACUGGGUGUGGCUUGUAUCGACCCAAGCCGUGCCGAAGCCAACGCGUUAAGUAUCCCGCCUGGGGAGUACGCGCGCAAGCGUGAAACUCAAAGGAAUUGACGGGGGCCCGCACAAGCGGUGGAGUAUGUGGUUUAAUUCGAUGCAACGCGAAGAACCUUACCAGGGCUUGACAUGUCGCGAAUCGAGUGGAAACAUUCGAGUGCCUUCGGGAGCGCGAACACAGGUGGUGCAUGGCUGUCGUCAGCUCGUGUCGUGAGAUGUUGGGUUAAGUCCCGCAACGAGCGCAACCCUCGUCUUUAGUUGCCAGCACGGAAGGUGGGCACUCUAGAGAAACUGCCGGUGACAAACCGGAGGAAGGUGGGGAUGACGUCAAGUCAGCAUGCCCCUUACGUCCUGGGCGACACACGUACUACAAUGGUGGGGACAGAGGGCAGCGAGUCCGCGAGGGCAAGCCAAUCCCAGAAACCUCGCCUCAGUUCAGAUUGCAGGCUGCAACUCGCCUGCAUGAAGGAGGAAUCGCUAGUAAUCGCAGGUCAGCAUACUGCGGUGAAUCCGUUCCCGGGCCUUGUACACACCGCCCGUCACACCAUGGAAGCUGGCCACGCCCGAAGUCGUUACCCUAACCGC
Molecule: ribosomal RNA, 1376 nt
Filed under: Symploca sp. RS04
Lineage: Bacteria; Bacillati; Cyanobacteriota; Cyanophyceae; Coleofasciculales; Coleofasciculaceae
Description: 16S ribosomal RNA
Rfam family: Bacterial small subunit ribosomal RNA
Source: RNAcentral